Molecule: small nucleolar RNA, 72 nt
Organism: Conger conger (European conger)
Lineage: Eukaryota; Metazoa; Chordata; Actinopteri; Anguilliformes; Congridae
Product: small nucleolar RNA SNORD63
Exons: 1
Source: RefSeq, a predicted model, not a curated record
GUGCAGUGAUGACCUUACAAACACAUCAUUCCGACCUCAAAUGUGGAGAGAGAUCUCAUUGAACUGAGCACA